Small nucleolar RNA from Elgaria multicarinata webbii, 97 nucleotides. RefSeq annotates it as small nucleolar RNA SNORD35. NCBI's taxonomy places the organism in Eukaryota, Metazoa, Chordata, Lepidosauria, Squamata, Anguidae. The record is from RefSeq and is a predicted model, not a curated record. The transcript has a single exon.
GGGUGAUGAUGUAUAAACUCACGAUGGUCUGCAGAGCCUUCUCUGGUGAACGAGGGGCUGCUGAAAAUGCCUGUCUGGCAGUCGCUGAACCACGCAG